GGGGGGGGGGGGGGGGGGGGGGGGGGGGGGGGGGGCGGGGGGGGGGGUGGGGGGGAGUGGGGGGGGGGUGAGUAAGAGGUGGGAGCGUGCCUUUAGGUUCGGAAUAACCCAGGGAAACUUGUGCUACUCACGAAGGUGCCCUUAGGGGGGACGAUUUAUCGCCCUUAGAGCGGCCCGCGUCUGAUUAGCUAGUUGGUUGCGGUAAUGGCUCACCAAGGCGACGGUCAGUAGCUGGUCUGAGAGGAUGAUCAGCCACAUUGGGACUGAGACACGGCCCAAACUCCUACGGGAGGCAGCAGUGGGGAAUCUUGCGCAAUGGGCGAAAGCCUGACGCAGCCAUGCCGCGUGAAUGAUGAAGGUCUUAGGAUUGUAAAAUUCUUUCACCGGGGACGAUAAUGACGGUACCCGGAGAAGAAGCCCCGGCUAACUUCGUG
This 434-nucleotide ribosomal RNA is filed under the name uncultured bacterium. Its description in RNAcentral is "partial 16S ribosomal RNA". It matches the Rfam family "Bacterial small subunit ribosomal RNA", at positions 39 to 507 of the family's 1533-position model. The record is from RNAcentral.